Molecule: non-coding RNA, 902 nt
Organism: Lactuca sativa (garden lettuce)
Lineage: Eukaryota; Viridiplantae; Streptophyta; Magnoliopsida; Asterales; Asteraceae
Source: RefSeq, a predicted model, not a curated record
UACUCUCUCUCUCCAUCUCUUUCUUACUCUCUCUCUCUCUCUCUCUCUCUCUCUCACAUACCUAUCGUCUUCAUCCUUCUAAUAUACGAAAGUCUCUCUCUCUCUCUUUCUCUCACACAUAUUUGACAAACGUAUGUAUUCUUUGAUUUUUAGUUCCCUCACUGAUUGAUGAACUAAUUUGGUGAGUCCACCUGAUACAGAAGCAAUAAGAUAAACAGAUUUGGUUUUCAGAGAGUUAAAUAGAUUUCAUGGCUUUUGGGGGGUUUUUAGGCACACAUGAACAAUCCCAUCGACUUUGAAGGUUAUUGACGCACAUACAUAAACACACGAUGACUUUGUGCUUCGGGGUUUUCUUUUCCACAAACUUAUCGAGUUUCUGGACAGGUUUUAGGGUAAUUGUUUUCGAUUUCAUUUAUGGGCACACAUAAUUUCAAUUUCCUUUAUGGGCACAUACUAACACCAACCAUCACUACACCUAUUGAGAAUCAGAAUUCAAGAUCAAAGUUGGUCUUGGUCAUCUUUACGAGUACAACUCUUAUAAUAUUUGAUACAUCAUACAUGCAUAAGAGGAGAGGGGCGCUAUAUCUGUUUUGGCCUUCUGGGUGAACAAUUCAGAAAAAGGGUGAAGUAUUUUCUCUUGAUUUUCUGAAGUUCUUGGGGGCACCACAACACAUCUGUUCUUCGAGAAUACAUAUAAACCCAUACAUUGGGUCUCGGGUGAUUCAAAGAGAAGGGGAUGAAAAGAAUGUGAUCAAUAUCUUCUUAAAUACGUUCUAAUGCUAAUUUUAACAUUGUAUAUCUACUGAUGCAUGUGAGAUUCAUUGCCAUCACUGAUAGGAGAACACUUUCCUUCUAUAUGGCUUUUAUUUUGAAUCAAAUAUAAACACGGAAACAAUGAUACA